AGAGUUUGAUCCUGGCUCAGGACGAACGCUGGCGGCGCGCUUAACACAUGCAAGUCGAGCGAGAACCGGGGCUUCGGCCCCGGGGACAGCGGCGAACGGGUGAGUAACACGUGGGUAAUCCACCCUCGGCACCGGGAUAGCCCGGGGAAACCCGGAUUAAUACCGGAUGGCCCUUCCGCCCUUCGGGGCGGUCGGAAAAGGUAGCUCCGGCCUCCGGCCGAGGACGAGCCCGCGGCGGAUUAGCUUGUUGGUGGGGUAACGGCCUACCAAGGCUCCGAUCCGUAGCUGGUCUGAGAGGACGAUCAGCCACACUGGGACUGAGACACGGCCCAGACUCCUACGGGAGGCAGCAGUGGGGAAUCUUGCCCAAUGGGCGCAAGCCUGAGGCAGCGACGCCGCGUGAGGGAAGAAGGCCUUCGGGUUGUAAACCUCUUUCAGGAGGGACGAAGCCACUCGGGUUAAUAGCCCAGAGGGUGACGGUACCUCCAGAAGAAGCCCCGGCUAACUACGUGCCAGCAGCCGCGGUAAUACGUAGGGGGCAAGCGUUGUCCGGAUUUACUGGGCGUAAAGAGCGUGUAGGCGGCCACGCAGGUCUGUUGUGAAAACUGGAGGCUUAACCUCCAGACGUCGACAGAAACCGUGUGGCUAGAGUCCGGAAGAGGAGAGUGGAAUUCCUGGUGUAGCGGUGAAAUGCGCAGAUAUCAGGAAGAACACCAAUGGCGAAGGCAGCUCUCUGGGACGGUACUGACGCUGAGACGCGAAAGCGUGGGUAGCGAACAGGAUUAGAUACCCUGGUAGUCCACGCCGUAAACGAUGGGUGCUAGGUGUGGGAGGUGUCGACUCCUUCCGUGCCGCAGCUAACGCAUUAAGCACCCCGCCUGGGGAGUACGGCCGCAAGGCUAAAACUCAAAGGAAUUGACGG
RNAcentral lists this ribosomal RNA (922 nucleotides) under uncultured bacterium. Its description in RNAcentral is "bacterial SSU rRNA". It matches the Rfam family "Bacterial small subunit ribosomal RNA", at positions 8 to 916 of the family's 1533-position model. The record is from RNAcentral.